Molecule: small nuclear RNA, 107 nt
Filed under: Tupaia belangeri chinensis (Chinese tree shrew)
Lineage: Eukaryota; Metazoa; Chordata; Mammalia; Scandentia; Tupaiidae
Source: RNAcentral
CUGCUCACUUCAGCAGCACAUAUGCUAAAAUUGGAACAAUACAGAGAUGAUUAGCAUGGCCCCCACACAAGGAUGACACACAAAUUCGUGAAGCAUUCCAUAUUUUU